Gallus gallus (chicken) is the source of this 1596-nucleotide long non-coding RNA. Lineage: Eukaryota; Metazoa; Chordata; Aves; Galliformes; Phasianidae. The record is from Ensembl.
CCACAAUAAGGUCUCCCUGGAACAUUCUCUUCUCCAAGCUUCUUCCUUCCUUCUUUCUUCCUUCCUGCAAGCUUCUUCUUCUUUCUUCUCCAAGAAUGCAAAGGGAGUUCAGAGAAGCUACCCAGGGCAUGGAAUGUUUGAGCCUGAUGGUGAAAUCCUUUGCAAAACAUUUCCCGGCUUACAAAGCUCUUCAUCAAAAGUAAAUUCAGAACAAGGAGUGAUGUGCUCUGGAUGAAACCAGGCUGUUCCCAAAGACUGCAAGUAAAGUUUGCCAACGCAUUUUCACUGCCAGCAUGAUAAAUUAUAUCCACAAGACAGCCUUCAAAAUGUGUUGGUUUUAUACGUAUUACACUUGGAUAAUUUUUGGAUAUCAUGUACAUCCUGCCAUUCAAAAUGUCUUCUCCCAGUAACUGUGCAUGCAGAAGUAGACCACUGCUGUGCACCAGCUCACACAUCUAAAGAUAAUAAGGGACAGAAACCUCAGGUUAUCAGCUAGAGGAGACGUCAUAUUGAGUAACUAUCCAAACUGUGGUCUUUUAACUUCCCUAAGAGAUUCUGGACAAAUCUACACCCCUCUCCUUCCAAAAGAAAAACAACCCCAAACCAAAAACACUUCCCUGAUCCCUCAGAAGAUAUUGAAAUAAGAGGACAAAGGCUUUCUCAACACAGCAUGCAAACCUGGGCCAAAAAGCACCAAGUUUUUUAUUCACAGGAAUCAGAUUUGUGGAUCUGGAUUAGUUCUGGAACAGAGAUACAAUCCUGGAACCUCAAUACAGAUCAACAUCUGUUGCUAGUGACAUUGAAGCUCAUGUUGCGUAUUGGCUGGUGAAAGAGAACAAAGCGAAGUGUCUGCUCUACGUUCUGGAUCCUGUCCAUCUUGCUUCACCAUAUGGAGUGAUAAUGGGCUCUGCUAUUCAGAUCUUAUUUUGUUCUUUGAGAAAUAUGUAAAGGAUGGUAUUUAUUAAAUUCAGUGGAAAGUGUCAAGAACAAGGCUAAGUAUUCUGCAAACUGAGCUUCCUUCAGUGCCUGAACAUCUCUGUAGCUGACUUUCUGGAAGAUUAGGCUCAGCAGCUGUCUGCAUCACACAGUUCUUUAUCCCACAGUUUAAGCUUUUCACAGCCAGCCAAACCAUAAGUUUCUUCAUACUGCCUUGUAAUUUUGCUUGGUAAAAGAAAAGUUUAUUUCCCAUUUUCCAGACACAGCCUGGUGAAUUAUUAAUUAGGUCAAUGGUUUCAGCUUGGGGUCUGGGCUGAUAGAUAUAGAGGUCUAGACUCACAUCUGUUCCAAACUGGGGACAGACAGCACAAUUUAACAGCUUAUGGUUAGAAUGAAAAGUCACAAGGGUUGUUCCUGUACUGGAUCACUUGCAUUUGUAGAAUAAUAACUAGGAGACUUGGGAAAAAUAAAUUUGAUGGUAAGCAUGUCUGCUGAUGGAGCAGCUGAAGGAGAACAAAAACAACUUGUGCAAAAUGUGGAGAUGAGAUGAAAGCCCAUGCACUAAUAUUUCAGUGCAUCUCAGAUUAACUAUCUCAGGUUAGCAGAAUAUUGUGUUUUCCUGAAAAUGGUCAUUUCUGGAGUCUUGAAAGUCAGCUGUAG